AAGUUUACAACUCCCAAACCCAAUGUGAACGUUACCAAACUGUUGCCUCGGCGGGAUCUCUGCCCCGGGUGCGUCGCAGCCCCGGACCAAGGCGCCCGCCGGAGGACCAACCAAAAACUCUUUUGUAUACCCCCUCGCGGGUUUUUUAUAUCUGAGCCAUCUCGGCGCCUCUCGUAGGCGUUUCGAAAAUGAAUCAAAACUUUCAACAACGGAUCUCUUGGUUCUGGCAUCGAUGAAGAACGCAGCGAAAUGCGAUAAGUAAUGUGAAUUGCAGAAUUCAGUGAAUCAUCGAAUCUUUGAACGCACAUUGCGCCCGCCAGUAUUCUGGCGGGCAUGCCUGUCCGAGCGUCAUUUCAACCCUCGAACCCCUCCGGGGGGUCGGCGUUGGGGAUCGGCCCUUUACGGGGCCGGCCCCGAAAUACAGUGGCGGUCUCGCCGCAGCCUCUCCUGCGCAGUAGUUUGCACACUCGCAUCGGGAGCGCGGCGCGUCCAUUGCCGUAAAACACCCAACUUUCUGAAAUGUUGACCUCGGAUCAGGUAGGAAUACCCGCUGAACUUAAGC
RNAcentral lists this ribosomal RNA (562 nucleotides) under Trichoderma spirale. RNAcentral's name for it is "eukaryotic LSU rRNA". The stretch from base 198 to 351 matches the Rfam family "5.8S ribosomal RNA". The record is from RNAcentral. Lineage: Eukaryota; Fungi; Ascomycota; Sordariomycetes; Hypocreales; Hypocreaceae.